Molecule: unclassified non-coding RNA, 240 nt
Filed under: soil metagenome
Description: partial contains 5.8S ribosomal RNA, internal transcribed spacer 2, and large subunit ribosomal RNA
Source: RNAcentral
AACAUCGCGCACCUGCGGGAACCUGCGGAAGGAUCAUUACAGAGUUGCAAAACUCCCUAAACCAUUGUGAACGUUACCUAAACCGUUGCUUCGGCGGGCGGCCCGGGUCCUUCCCGGCGCCCAUCGGCCCUCGCGGGCGCCCGCCGGAGGUAAACCAAACUAUUGCAUUGUAUGGCCUCUCUGAGUCUUCUGUACUGAAUAAGUCAAAACUUUCAGCAACGGAUCUCAGAUCGGAAGAGC